UACGGAGGGGGCUAUCGUUGUUCGGAAUUACUGGGCGUAAAGCGCACGUAGGCGGCUUUGUAAGUUAGAGGUGAAAGCCCGGGGCUCAACUCCGGAAUUGCCUUUAAGACUGCAUCGCUAGAAUUGUGGAGAGGUAAGUGGAAUUCCGAGUGUAGAGGUGAAAUUCGUAGAUAUCGGAAGGAACACCUGUGGCGAAAGCGGCUCACUGGACCAUUACUGACACUGAGGCACGAAAGCUAGGGGAGCAAACAGG
RNAcentral lists this ribosomal RNA (253 nucleotides) under uncultured bacterium. Its description in RNAcentral is "partial 16S ribosomal RNA". It matches the Rfam family "Bacterial small subunit ribosomal RNA", at positions 524 to 776 of the family's 1533-position model. The record is from RNAcentral.